RNAcentral lists this ribosomal RNA (883 nucleotides) under Macrobiotus dolosus. Its description in RNAcentral is "SSU rRNA". It matches the Rfam family "Eukaryotic small subunit ribosomal RNA", at positions 54 to 938 of the family's 1831-position model. The record is from RNAcentral. Lineage: Eukaryota; Metazoa; Tardigrada; Eutardigrada; Parachela; Macrobiotidae.
CAUGUCUCAGUACUUGCUUUUACAAGGCGAAACCGCGAAUGGCUCAUUAAAUCAGUUAUGGUUCACUAGAUCGUAAAUUUUACACGGAUAACUGUGGUAAUUCUAGAGCUAAUACGUGCAACCAGCUCGCUUCCUUGUGGAGCGAGCGCAGUUAUUAGAACAAGACCAAUCCGGCCUUCGGGUCGGUACAUUUGGUGACUCUGAAUAACCGAAGCGGAGCGCAUGGUCUCGUACCGGCGCCAGAUCUUUCAAGUGUCUGACUUAUCAGCUUGUUGUUAGGUUAUGUUCCUAACAAGGCUUCAACGGGUAACGGGGUAUCAGGGUCCGAUACCGGAGAGGGAGCCUGAGAAACGGCUACCACAUCCAAGGAAGGCAGCAGGCGCGCAAAUUACCCACUCCUAGCACAGGGAGGUAGUGACGAAAAAUAACGAUGCGGGGUCUUAUAGAUUCCCGUAAUCGGAAUGGGUACACUUUAAAUCCUUUAACGAGGAUCUAUUGGAGGGCAAGUCUGGUGCCAGCAGCCGCGGUAAUUCCAGCUCCAAUAGCGUAUAUUAAAGUUGCUGCGGUUAAAAAGCUCGUAGUUGGAUCUGGGCUUCUGAAUGGAUGGUGCGCUUUUCGGUGCUACUGUCCGUUUGGUGCCACAAGUCGGCCAUGUAGUGCAUGCCCUUCAUUGGGUGUGCAUUGCGACCGAAACGUUUACUUUGAAAAAAUUAGAGUGCUCAAAGCAGGCGUACGGCCUUGCAUAAUGGUGCAUGGAAUAAUGGAAUAGGACCUCGGUUCUAUUUUGUUGGUUUUCGGAACUCGAGGUAAUGAUUAAUAGGAACAGACGGGGGCAUUCGUAUUGCGGCGUUAGAGGUGAAAUUCUUGGAUCGUCGCAAGACGA